CGAGGCGAACCGGGGAAACUGAAACAUCUCAGUACCCCGAGGAAAAGAAAUCAACCGAGAUUCCCCCAGUAGCGGCGAGCGAACAGGGAGCAGCCCAGAGUCAACAUCAAUAUUUACCGCAGGAGAAAGAUCUGGAAAGGCCGGCAAUAAAGGGUGAUAGCCCCGUAUCUGAAGCGGUAAGUGUUGUGAACUCGAAGAGUAAGGCGGGACACGUGUUAUCCUGUCUGAAUAUGGGGGGACCAUCCUCCAAGGCUAAAUACUCCUGACUGACCGAUAGUGAACCAGUACCGUGAGGGAAAGGCGAAAAGAACCCCGGCGAGGGGAGUGAAAUAGAACCUGAAACCGUGUACGUACAAGCAGUAGGAGCACCCGAAAAGGUGUGACUGCGUACCUUUUGUAUAAUGGGUCAGCGACUUAUAUUCUGUAGCAAGGUUAACCGCAUAAGGGAGCCGUAGGGAAACCGAGUCUUAACUGGGCGUUAAGUUGCAGGGUAUAGACCCGAAACCCGGUGAUCUAGCCAUGGGCAGGUUGAAG
This 534-nucleotide ribosomal RNA is filed under the name Arsenophonus endosymbiont of Bemisia tabaci. RNAcentral's name for it is "partial 23S ribosomal RNA". It matches the Rfam family "Bacterial large subunit ribosomal RNA", at positions 175 to 750 of the family's 2925-position model. Lineage: Bacteria; Pseudomonadati; Pseudomonadota; Gammaproteobacteria; Enterobacterales; Morganellaceae. The record is from RNAcentral.